AACAUCUAGCACCUCCUGGUGCCGGAUUAAAAGAGGGCUUCUUGCUCUCACGAUGAGAUGGGCCCGCGGCGCAUUAGCUAGUUGGAGAGGUAACGGCUCCCCAAGGCGACGAUGCGUAGCCGACCUGAGAGGGUGAUCGGCCACACUGGGACUGAGACACGGCCCAGACUCCUACGGGAGGCAGCAGUAGGGAAUCUUCCGCAAUGGACGAAAGUCUGACGGAGCAACGCCGCGUGAGUGAUGAAGGGUUUCGGCUCGUAAAGCUCUGUUAUGAGGGAAGAACACGUACCGUUCGAAUAGGGCGGUACCUUGACGGUACCUCAUCAGAAAGCCACGGCUAACUACGUGCCAGCAGCCGCGGUAAUACGUAGGUGGCAAGCGUUGUCCGGAAUUAUUGGGCGUAAAGCGCGCGCAGGCGGCCUUUUAAGUCUGAUGUGAAAUCUUGCGGCUCAACCGCAAGCGGCCAUUGGAAACUGGGAGGCUUGAGUACAGAAGAGGAGAGUGGAAUUCCACGUGUAGCGGUGAAAUGCGUAGAUAUGUGGAGGAACACCAGUGGCGAAGGCGACUCUCUGGUCUGUAA
RNAcentral lists this ribosomal RNA (580 nucleotides) under Alkalicoccobacillus gibsonii. Its description in RNAcentral is "bacterial SSU rRNA". It matches the Rfam family "Bacterial small subunit ribosomal RNA", at positions 173 to 739 of the family's 1533-position model. Lineage: Bacteria; Bacillati; Bacillota; Bacilli; Caryophanales; Bacillaceae. The record is from RNAcentral.